UGGUGUUUUCAUUGAGAGUUUUGAAACAACUUGUUGGGGUCGGAUUCCCCACAAGCAAGACCGAGCCAAACAGUCUAAGAAUAACAAUCACCUCAUGGUUAAACAUAUGAUUGGCCCCUAGCCUAGAACAAAGCACCUCGGGACCUUAUUCGAUCGACCGUCCCAAAGAGAGUUUGUAAAAUGGCUCGGGUGUUAAUCAUAUGAACACAGCCCGAGCCAAUCGUGAGAACGCUGCGGGAAACAUCUAUAUCGGCUCGGGAGACAGCCAACUGAGCUUAAUGGACAGUCAUCAAGCGCGCCCCGAGCCGGUACAUACCGUUUGCCCCGAAGCCACCUCUCAAACGACCACCGAGCCGUGAAGAACACGCGAGGCAAAGACUUAAGGAGAAUCUUUGAAGAUAAUGUUAAAAUCAGGAAAUCUCCCCAAAACCUCCGAAGAAUAAGGAGAAUAUCCUUAGGACGAUUAUCCUCUAGAACCGACCUAAGGAUAAAUAAGAAUCUUCCGAAGAAUAUCGCUAAGGGGGCGGUUUAAGGAUCCUAUAUAAAGUGCCUCAGGGACUUCACAAGAGGGGGAUCUUUGGAUACUCACAAGAACACAUAACUUUAUACCUAUUGAGAACUACGAAUGGCUUGAUCCCUUCACAGGGUACGUAGGCAAUCCAUCAUGGAUGCAGCUAUACCUUUUUAAAACCCUAACUCUUUUUCUGUUCUUGAGCAAAACCCUAAUGUAUUUCAUAAGAGAUUAGAACAUCUUUUGUAAUCGAGUCUUGGAUAGAAUACCUAAUGAAGAGAAAUUACUAGAUUUGUUUUCCCUCUCUAAACAAAUCUAUUGUGUGAAUCCUUGGUUCAACAAUUGGCGCCGUCUGUGGGGAACGACAAAGAACUCUCUUCGCAUAUCAUUCAUCCAAGUAUUCGAUGUACGCUCAUCAAGCCAAGACAAUCAGAUCCGUCUACUUGCGG
RNAcentral lists this small RNA (960 nucleotides) under Arabidopsis thaliana (thale cress). RNAcentral describes it as "ATSL092390". The record is from RNAcentral. Lineage: Eukaryota; Viridiplantae; Streptophyta; Magnoliopsida; Brassicales; Brassicaceae.